GAGACGUAAAACAACUGCCAAAAGCGUCCUAAGAGAGACGCAGACCAUCGUCUAAAAGUGUCUUAAAGGAGACGUCUGCCAUCAUCCAAUAAGCAUCUUAAGGGAGACGCAGACCAUCGUCUAAGAAGUGUCAUAAGGGAGACGCAUGACAACUACUAAAAGCUUCCUAAGGGAGACGCAAGCUAUUGUCCAAAAGUGUCCUAAGGGAGACGCAGGACAACUGCCAAAAGAGUCCUAAGGGAGACGUAUGC
RNAcentral lists this long non-coding RNA (251 nucleotides) under Prunus persica (peach). RNAcentral's name for it is "long non-coding RNA (PPER_LNC005963)". Lineage: Eukaryota; Viridiplantae; Streptophyta; Magnoliopsida; Rosales; Rosaceae. The record is from RNAcentral.